RNAcentral lists this ribosomal RNA (497 nucleotides) under uncultured bacterium. Its description in RNAcentral is "partial 16S ribosomal RNA". It matches the Rfam family "Bacterial small subunit ribosomal RNA", at positions 28 to 507 of the family's 1533-position model. The record is from RNAcentral.
GAUGAACGCUGGCGGCGUGCCUAAUACAUGCAAGUCGAGCGAACGGACGAGAAGCUUGCUUCUCUGAUGUUAGCGGCGGACGGGUGAGUAACACGUGGAUAACCUACCUAUAAGACUGGGAUAACUUCGGGAAACCGGAGCUAAUACCGGAUGAUAUUUUGAACCGCAUGGUUCAAAAGUGAAAGACGGUCUUGCUGUCACUUAUAGAUGGAUCCGCGCUGCAUUAGCUAGUUGGUAAGGUAACGGCUUACCAAGGCAACGAUGCAUAGCCGACCGGAGAGGGGGAUCGGCCACCUUGGAGCUGAGACGCGGUCAAGACUCCUAAGGGAGGGAGCAGUAGGGAAACUUCCGCAAUGGGCGAAAGCCUGACGGAACAACGCCGCGUGAGAGAUGAAGGCCUUCGGAUCGGAAAACUCUGUUAUUAGGGAAGAACAUAUGUGUAAGUAACUGUGCACAUCUUGACGGUACCUAAUCAGAAAGCCACGGCUAACUACGUG